UACGUAGGGUGCAAGCGUUAAUCGGAAUUACUGGGCGUAAAGGGCUCGUAGGCGGCCAACUAAGUCAGACGUGAAAUCCCUCGGCUUAACCGGGGAACUGCGUCUGAUACUGGAUGGCUUGAGAUUGGGAGAGGGAUGCGGAAUUCCAGGUGUAGCGGUGAAAUGCGUAGAUAUUGGGAGGAACACCAGUGGCGAAAGCGGCGCACUGGACCAUAACUGACGCUGAUGCGCGAAAGCUAGGGGAGCAAACAGG
RNAcentral lists this ribosomal RNA (253 nucleotides) under uncultured bacterium. RNAcentral describes it as "partial 16S ribosomal RNA". It matches the Rfam family "Bacterial small subunit ribosomal RNA", at positions 524 to 776 of the family's 1533-position model. The record is from RNAcentral.